UCCUACUCACCUCCCCUAAAAUAGCCAUAACAUUCCCCUCUCAGAAACAUAUACUGACCAGGCGAUUUUACAAUAA
Molecule: transfer RNA, 76 nt
Filed under: Corynebacterium pseudotuberculosis
Lineage: Bacteria; Bacillati; Actinomycetota; Actinomycetes; Mycobacteriales; Corynebacteriaceae
Description: tRNA-Lys
Source: RNAcentral